AACGUAGGUGGCGAGCGUUAUCCGGAUUUACUGGGCGUAAAGCGUGUGCGGGCGGGGCUACAAGUGGUGUAUGAAAUCGCUCGGCUAAACCGGGCGGGGUUAUGCCAGACUGUAGCUCUAGAGUGCGAGAGAGGGGCGUGGAAUUCCGGGUGUAGUGGUGAAAUGCGUAGAGAUCCGGAGGAACCCCAGAGGCGAAGGCGGCGCCCUGGCUCGCAACUGACGCUCAGACACGACAGCAUGGGGAGCGAACGGG
RNAcentral lists this ribosomal RNA (253 nucleotides) under uncultured bacterium. RNAcentral's name for it is "partial 16S ribosomal RNA". It matches the Rfam family "Bacterial small subunit ribosomal RNA", at positions 524 to 776 of the family's 1533-position model. The record is from RNAcentral.